This 253-nucleotide ribosomal RNA is filed under the name uncultured bacterium. RNAcentral's name for it is "partial 16S ribosomal RNA". It matches the Rfam family "Bacterial small subunit ribosomal RNA", at positions 524 to 776 of the family's 1533-position model. The record is from RNAcentral.
UACGUAGGGUGCAAGCGUUGUCCGGAAUUAUUGGGCGUAAAGAGCUUGUAGGCGGUUUGUCGCGUCUGCUGUGAAAUCUCCGGGCUUAACUCGGAAAGGUCAACUGAUACUGUGCGACUAGAGUGCAGAAGGGGCAACUGGAAUUCUCGGUGUAGCGGUGAAAUGCGUAGAUAUCGAGAGGAACACCUGCGGCGAAGGCGGGUUGCUGGGCCGACACUGACGCUGAGGCGCGAAAGCCAGGGGAGCAAACGGG